GAUGAACGCUGGCGGCGUGCCUAAUACAUGCAAGUCGAGCGAACAGACGAGGAGCUUGCUCCUCUGACGUUAGCGGCGGACGGGUGAGUAACACGUGGAUAACCUACCUAUAAGACUGGGAUAACUUCGGGAAACCGGAGCUAAUACCGGAUAAUAUAUUGAACCGCAUGGUUCAAUAUUGAAAGACGGUUUUGCUGUCACUUAUAGAUGGAUCCGCGCCGCAUUAGCUAGUUGGUAAGGUAACGGCUUACCAAGGCAACGAUGCGUAGCCGACCUGAGAUGGUGAUCGGCCACCCUGGAACUGAGACACGGUCCAGACUCCUACGGGAGGCAGCAGUAGGGAAUCUUCCGCAAUGGGCGAAAGCCUGACGGAGCAACGCCGAGUGAGUGAUGAAGGUCUUCGGAUCGUAAAACUCUGUUAUUAGGGAAGAACAAAUGUGUAAGUAACUAUGCACGUCUUGACGGUACCUAAUCAGAAAGCCACGGCUAACUACGUG
Molecule: ribosomal RNA, 497 nt
Filed under: uncultured bacterium
Lineage: Bacteria
Description: partial 16S ribosomal RNA
Rfam family: Bacterial small subunit ribosomal RNA
Source: RNAcentral